Lytechinus variegatus (green sea urchin) is the source of this 1171-nucleotide long non-coding RNA. RefSeq lists it as uncharacterized. NCBI's taxonomy places the organism in Eukaryota, Metazoa, Echinodermata, Echinoidea, Temnopleuroida, Toxopneustidae. The record is from RefSeq and is a predicted model, not a curated record. The transcript is spliced from 2 exons.
GAGUGAACAAAGAGAUCAAGACAACUGUUUAACACUACUCGGUGAUGCAUACAUCUUUGAAACAAGAGUCAGAGGAACCAGGAUAUGAAAAUCUGCAGUUUAUAUUCUAACUAUACCCCCAAAGUUACGGUGACAAAUCCAAAAUUGCUCAGGACAUAGCCAAACAAAAAUGCAUGAUAAUCUACAGAUCUGGAUGAAAAUGGUGCAUACAGUAUAUGUAUACUUCAAUUCGAAUAAAAUAAAGUGUCCUUUCGUCCGUAUUGUUAAUUUGAAGUAUCAUGACGAAAUAAGUAUUGAUUACAUAUAACGAAAUUCGAGAUAACUGGUAAUUGGUGUGACUUGAAUAUCUUUUUUCUCUAAACUUUGAUGAAGACAAGUAUGUUUUGUUGCAGACCUGUCAUCUACUCCGAAUUUGAAAAUUGAAAUUGAACUACUUUCUUAUAUACCACUCUAAUUCAGCAAGGGCUUAAGAUUCCUCGCCCUUUCUUUCAAUCUUCCAACCAAAUUCGAAUUCAAUAAUAUUACAAGGGAUUUAAUGAACCGAAGUAUCGAUAUACAGCACAUAGAUAUUUGUUCUUGACCAAUUUACAUUAAGAUAAUUCAAAAUCUUGAAAAUGAUUAUAUUAAGAAAACAGAUACUAAGAUUAAAUUGGCGCAUUAUUGCAUCAAAUAUCAUUAUUGAUGCGCUCAUACAGAUAAACAACAUUUAGCUGCUUGUGAUAUGCAAACAUAAAGCAGAUUCUACCCUUAACUUGCUCAUGACGUCUGUUUCAUGCAUGCAUGUGGUUGUCAUGACAACAAUGAGAUCAAUUGGAUUUGCUCUAGGUUUAUUAAAGUUCUGGAUAGGUCCAUUAGACCAAUCUUUCUUGUCUGUAGUGAACUAAAAGCAUGAUUCCCUGCACACAUAAUCACAUAAUGUGCACGCCGAGAAACAGAAUACCCUCUUGUACAAAACUCAAUAACUCAUGUGCGACAUAAUGGAAACCUGUCGACCUAUUUCUGACAUAAUGUUUGCAUUCUAUUGUCCCUCCACAAAAUAGAUUGUCAGCUUCUCCAAAACACUUUCCAUUGUAUCCUUUCUCUAGCGUUCUCUAUCUCCUCAAACAAUCGCCAUCUUAGGACCCCCAAGUGGUGAUAUAUUCUUAUGAUUUAAACUCAAAACGAAACGUUA